Elaeis guineensis (African oil palm) is the source of this 694-nucleotide non-coding RNA. NCBI's taxonomy places the organism in Eukaryota, Viridiplantae, Streptophyta, Magnoliopsida, Arecales, Arecaceae. The record is from RefSeq and is a predicted model, not a curated record.
CUAAACAUAUGGAGAGCCAAUAGUUAGAAAAUAUAUAGUACAAAAAUAGGUGGAAUAUAAUUGUACGGUAGGCCAUGAAUGUCAUGUUAGAGAAUCAAAAUUAUUUAAAUAUCUUAUUAGCCAUUUCCAUAAUAUGGAGGUCGGUCGCUUUUCUCCAUUUGAGGAAGAGCAUCAUAUGUUCUUCAACAUCAAAGAUAAGUUUUUUGGAUUUCAUAGAAAGCUCAAGAUAGAGGAUUUUCUUGACUAGAUCACAACUAUUAAGUUAUAUUAGCAGGCAUCUUGUAACUAUUCAUAUGUGAUUUUGGAAAUUACAUCAUCGAUUCGGCAAAGACAAAACUAUCGGACAAUUUUUCUAAGAAGAUGGCUAACCUAUCUUACACCUCUUACCUCCUCAUAUUUCUCCUUGUCAUCAUCUCAGGCGAGAUGGUGGUGUCUCAAGAAAUCAAAAAUAAUUAUUGCACGACAUUUCUCAACCAUCGGUGUGUCAAUAGGCUUUGUAGCAGACAAUGCCUCGAAAAAAUGACUGGACUCGGGAAAUGCCUUUAUAGUACGAAUUCAGAUGUUAUUUGGUGUGUUUGUGCUCAUCCAUGCCAAUAAGUAUAUAUAUAAACAGAAUAAAAAUGAUAAAAUUCUUUGUUGAACUAGAAAAUGUACACAUAUCAGUUUACUUUAAAGGCUUUGAGACUUGCUAUAA